RNAcentral lists this ribosomal RNA (495 nucleotides) under uncultured bacterium. RNAcentral's name for it is "partial 16S ribosomal RNA". It matches the Rfam family "Bacterial small subunit ribosomal RNA", at positions 28 to 507 of the family's 1533-position model. The record is from RNAcentral.
GACGAACGCUGGCGGCGUGCCUAAUACAUGCAAGUAGAACGCUGAAGGAGGAGCUUGCUCUUCUGGAUGAGUUGCGAACGGGUGAGUAACGCGUAGGUAACCUGCCUGGUAGCGGGGGAUAACUAUUGGAAACGAUAGCUAAUACCGCAUAAAAUUGAUUAUUGCAUGAUAGUCAAUUAAAAGGUGCAAUUGCAUCACUACCAGAUGGACCUGCGUUGUAUUAGCUAGUUGGUGAGGUAACGGCUCACCAAGGCAACGAUACAUAGCCGACCUGAGAGGGUGAUCGGCCACACUGGGACUGAGACACGGCCCAGACUCCUACGGGAGGCAGCAGUAGGGAAUCUUCGGCAAUGGACGGAAGUCUGACCGAGCAACGCCGCGUGAGUGAAGAAGGUUCUCGGAUCGUAAAGCUCUGUUGUAAGAGAAGAACGAGUGUGAGAGUGGAAAGUUCACACUGUGACGGUAUCUUACCAGAAAGGGACGGCUAACUACGUG